GACGAACGCUGGCGGCGUGCUUAACACAUGCAAGUCGAAUGGAAAGGCCCUGCUUUUGUGGGGUGCUCGAGUGGCGAACGGGUGAGUAACACGUGAGUAACCUGCCCUUGACUUUGGGAUAACUUCAGGAAACUGGGGCUAAUACCGGAUAGGAGCUCCUGCUGCAUGGUGGGGGUUGGAAAGUUUCGGCGGUUGGGGAUGGACUCGCGGCUUAUCAGCUUGUUGGUGGGGUAGUGGCUUACCAAGGCUUUGACGGGUAGCCGGCCUGAGAGGGUGACCGGCCACAUUGGGACUGAGAUACGGCUCAGACUCCUACGGGAGGCAGCAGUGGGGAAUAUUGCACAAUGGGCGGAAGCCUGAUGCAGCAACGCCGCGUGCGGGAUGACGGCCUUCGGGUUGUAAACCGCUUUCGCCUGUGACGAAGCGUGAGUGACGGUAAUGGGUAAAGAAGCACCGGCUAACUACGUG
RNAcentral lists this ribosomal RNA (468 nucleotides) under uncultured bacterium. RNAcentral describes it as "partial 16S ribosomal RNA". It matches the Rfam family "Bacterial small subunit ribosomal RNA", at positions 28 to 507 of the family's 1533-position model. The record is from RNAcentral.